This 377-nucleotide unclassified non-coding RNA is filed under the name uncultured Parachlamydiaceae bacterium. RNAcentral's name for it is "contains 16S-23S intergenic spacer region". The record is from RNAcentral. Lineage: Bacteria; Pseudomonadati; Chlamydiota; Chlamydiia; Parachlamydiales; Parachlamydiaceae.
UCCUGGUUAACCCAGGCAGUCUCAUUAGAGUUCCCACCUAAAAUGCUGGCAACUAAUGAUAAGGGUUGCGCUCGUUGCGGGACUUAACCCAACACCUCACGGCACGAGCUGACGACAGCCAUGCAGCACCUGUGCAGAAGCCCCGAAGGGAGGUCCUAUCUCUAGAACUGUCCUCUGCAUGUCAAGUCUGGGUAAGGUUCUUCGCGUUGCAUCGAAUUAAACCACAUGCUCCACUGCUUGUGCGGGUCCCCGUCAAUUCUUUUGAGUUUCAGCCUUGCGACUGUACUUCCCAGGCGGUAUACUUAUCGCGUUAGCUUCGGCACAACUGGGGUUGAUUCCAGCUACACCAAGUAUACAUAGUUUACGGCAAGGACUAC